AUUGAACGCUGGCGGCAGGCCUAACACAUGCAAGUCGAGCGGAUGAAGGGAGCUUGCUCCUGGAUUCAGCGGCGGACGGGUGAGUAAUGCCUAGGAAUCUGCCUGGUAGUGGGGGAUAACGUCCGGAAACGGGCGCUAAUACCGCAUACGUCCUGAGGGAGAAAGUGGGGGAGCUUCGGACCUCACGCUAUCAGAUGAGCCUAGGUCGGAUUAGCUAGUUGGUGGGGUAAAGGCCUACCAAGGCGACGAUCCGUAACUGGUCUGAGAGGAUGAUCAGUCACACUGGAACUGAGACACGGUCCAGACUCCUACGGGAGGCAGCAGUGGGGAAUAUUGGACAAUGGGCGAAAGCCUGAUCCAGCCAUGCCGCGUGUGUGAAGAAGGUCUUCGGAUUGUAAAGCACUUUAAGUUGGGAGGAAGGGCAGUAAGUUAGUACCUCGCUGUUUUGACGUUACCAACAGAAUAAGCACCGGCUAACUUCGUG
This 484-nucleotide ribosomal RNA is filed under the name uncultured bacterium. Its description in RNAcentral is "partial 16S ribosomal RNA". It matches the Rfam family "Bacterial small subunit ribosomal RNA", at positions 30 to 507 of the family's 1533-position model. The record is from RNAcentral.